UGAGCAAUCUGCCCUUCUCUUCGGAAUAAGCGUUGGAAACGACGUCUAAUGCCGAAUACGACCUCCUUUCGCAUGAUCGGAGGUGGAAAGCUCCGGCGGAGAAGGAUGAGCUCGCGGCCUAUCAGCUAGUUGGUGUGGGUAAUGGCCCACCAAGGCGACGACGGGUAGCCGGCCUGAGAGGGUGACCGGCCACACUGGGACUGAGACACGGCCCAGACUCCUACGGUAGGNAGCG
Molecule: ribosomal RNA, 235 nt
Filed under: uncultured bacterium
Lineage: Bacteria
Description: partial 16S ribosomal RNA
Rfam family: Bacterial small subunit ribosomal RNA
Source: RNAcentral